GGGAUGAUGGCACAGGGGUAAUGCGCCCCCUUCGCAUGGGGGAGAUCCAGGGUUCGAUUCCCUGUCAUUCCA
Molecule: transfer RNA, 72 nt
Organism: Aureobasidium pullulans
Lineage: Eukaryota; Fungi; Ascomycota; Dothideomycetes; Dothideales; Saccotheciaceae
Rfam family: tRNA
About the family: Transfer RNA (tRNA) molecules are approximately 80 nucleotides in length.
Source: Rfam